GAUGAACGCUGGCGGCGUGCUUAACACAUGCAAGUCGAACGGAGUUUACAUGUGAGCGGAGGGUGCUUGCAUCUAACAAUCUUUUGUAAACUUAGUGGCGGACGGGUGAGUAACGCGUGGGUAACCUGCCGUAUACAGGGGGACAACAGUUGGAAACGACUGCUAAUACCGCAUAAGCGCACAGGACCGCAUGGUCUGGUGUGAAAAACUCCGGUGGUAUACGAUGGACCCGCGUCUGAUUAGCUAGUUGGUGAGGUAACGGCCUACCAAGGCGACGAUCAGUAGCCGGCCUGAGAGGGUGAACGGCCACAUUGGGACUGAGACACGGCCCAAACUCCUACGGGAGGCAGCAGUGGGGAAUAUUGCACAAUGGGGGAAACCCUGAUGCAGCGACGCCGCGUGAGUGAAGAAGUAUUUCGGUAUGUAAAGCUCUAUCAGCAGGGAAGAAAAUGACGGUACCUGACUAAGAAGCACCGGCUAAAUACGUGCCAGCAGCCGACGG
This 502-nucleotide ribosomal RNA is filed under the name uncultured bacterium. RNAcentral's name for it is "bacterial SSU rRNA". It matches the Rfam family "Bacterial small subunit ribosomal RNA", at positions 28 to 520 of the family's 1533-position model. The record is from RNAcentral.